GAUGAACGCUGGCGGCGUGCUUAACACAUGCAAGUCGAACGAAACACCUUAUUUGAUUUUCUUCGGAACUGAAGAUUUGGUGAUUGAGUGGCGGACGGGUGAGUAACGCGUGGGUAACCUGCCCUGUACAGGGGGAUAACAGUCAGAAAUGACUGCUAAUACCGCAUAAGACCACAGCACCGCAUGGUGCAGGGGUAAAAACUCCGGUGGUACAGGAUGGACCCGCGUCUGAUUAGCUGGUUGGUGAGGUAACGGCUCACCAAGGCGACGAUCAGUAGCCGGCUUGAGAGAGUGAACGGCCACAUUGGGACUGAGACACGGCCCAAACUCCUACGGGAGGCAGCAGUGGGGAAUAUUGCACAAUGGGGGAAACCCUGAUGCAGCGACGCCGCGUGAGUGAAGAAGUAUCUCGGUAUGUAAAGCUCUAUCAGCAGGGAAGAAAA
RNAcentral lists this ribosomal RNA (443 nucleotides) under uncultured bacterium. Its description in RNAcentral is "bacterial SSU rRNA". It matches the Rfam family "Bacterial small subunit ribosomal RNA", at positions 28 to 451 of the family's 1533-position model. The record is from RNAcentral.